CCUACGGGGGGCAGCAGUGGGGAAUAUUGGGCAAUGGAGGCAACUCUGACCCAGCAACGCCGCGUGAAUGAUGAAGGUCUUCGGAUUGUAAGGUUCUGUGAUGGGGGAUGAACACAAUGACGGUACCUCUUGAAUAAGCCACGGCUAACUACGUGCCAGCAGCCGCGGUAAUACGUAGGUGGCAAGCGUUGUCCGGAUUUACUGGGUGUAAAGGGCGUGUAGCCGGGCUGACAAGUCAGAUGUGAAAUCCCGUGGCUCAACCACGGAACUGCAUUUGAAACUGUCGGUCUUGAGUAUCGGAGAGG
RNAcentral lists this ribosomal RNA (305 nucleotides) under uncultured bacterium. RNAcentral describes it as "bacterial SSU rRNA". It matches the Rfam family "Bacterial small subunit ribosomal RNA", at positions 338 to 657 of the family's 1533-position model. The record is from RNAcentral.